ACUUCUGUCUGUACUACACUAGGCGCGAAGCGUGGGAGCAAACNGAAUAGAUACCCUGGUAGUCCACGCCGUAAACGAUGAGUGCUAAGUGUUAGAGGGUUUCCGCCCUUUAGUGCUGAAGUUAACGCAUUAAGCACUCCGCCUGGGGAGUACGGCCGCAAGGCUGAAACUCAAAGGAAUUGACGGGGSCCCGCACAAGCGGUGGAGCAUGUGGUUUAAUUCGAAGCAACGCGAAGAACCUUACCAGGUCUUGACAUCCUCUGAAAACCCUAGAGAUAGGGCUUCUCCUUCGGGAGCAGAGUGACAGGUGGUGCAUGGUUGUCGUCAGCUCGUGUCGUGAGAUGUUGGGUUAAGUCCCGCAACGAGCGCAACCCUUGAUCUUAGUUGCCAUCAUUAAGUUGGGCACUCUAAGGUGACUGCCGGUGACAAACCGGAGGAAGGUGGGGAUGACGUCAAAUCAUCAUGCCCCUUAUGACCUGGGCUACACACGUGCUACAAUGGACGGUACAAAGAGCUGCAAGACCGCGAGGUGGAGCUAAUCUCAUAAACCGUUCUCAGUUCGGAUUG
This 567-nucleotide ribosomal RNA is filed under the name Bacillus sp. E7-BR. RNAcentral describes it as "bacterial SSU rRNA". It matches the Rfam family "Bacterial small subunit ribosomal RNA", at positions 728 to 1300 of the family's 1533-position model. The record is from RNAcentral. Lineage: Bacteria; Bacillati; Bacillota; Bacilli; Caryophanales; Bacillaceae.